UACAACCAUAUCACGUUGAAACAGCGGUUCCCAUACGAUCAUCGAAGUUAAGCAACGUCGAGCCUUAUUAGUACACAGAUCGGUGACCGUUUGGGAAUACUAGCUGCUGUAAGC
This is a non-coding RNA of Acanthosepion pharaonis, 114 nucleotides long. Lineage: Eukaryota; Metazoa; Mollusca; Cephalopoda; Sepiida; Sepiidae. The record is from the annotation of a GenBank genome assembly.